RNAcentral lists this ribosomal RNA (497 nucleotides) under uncultured bacterium. RNAcentral's name for it is "partial 16S ribosomal RNA". It matches the Rfam family "Bacterial small subunit ribosomal RNA", at positions 28 to 507 of the family's 1533-position model. The record is from RNAcentral.
GACGAACGCUGGCGGCGUGCCUAAUACAUGCAAGUUGAGCGCUGAAGGUUGGUACUUGUACCGACUGGAUGAGCAGCGAACGGGUGAGUAACGCGUGGGGAAUCUGCCUUUGAGCGGGGGACAACAUUUGGAAACGAAUGCUAAUACCGCAUAAAAACUUUAAACACAAGUUUUAAGUUUGAAAGAUGCAAUUGCAUCACUCAAAGAUGAUCCCGCGUUGUAUUAGCUAGUUGGUGAGGUAAAGGCUCACCAAGGCGAUGAUACAUAGCCGACCUGAGAGGGUGGUCGGCCACAUUGAGACGGAGACACGGCCCAAACUCCUACGGGAGGCAGCAGUAGGGAAUCUUCGGCAAUGGACGAAAGUCUGACCGAGCAACGCCGCGUGAGUGAAGAAGGUUUUCGGAUCGUAAAACUCUGUUGGUAGAGAAGAACGUUGGUGAGAGUGGAAAGCUCAUCAAGUGACGGUAACUACCCAGAAAGGGACGGCUAACUACGUG